RNAcentral lists this long non-coding RNA (488 nucleotides) under Micromonas commoda. Its description in RNAcentral is "long non-coding RNA (MCOM_LNC000369)". The record is from RNAcentral. Lineage: Eukaryota; Viridiplantae; Chlorophyta; Mamiellophyceae; Mamiellales; Mamiellaceae.
UGCCCAACUCGCAGUCUCGCGAGCAGCUCACCAUCGUAUGCGGGAAGUCGUUCUCGGCAUCCACCGUCAACGACACGGACGCGUGCAAGUUCACCAAGGAGCUCAAGGUUGGCUACUGGCUCGUGUUGGACAAGGCCUAUCCGGUUCAGCACAGGGUGAUCACCAGCAUCAAGUCCGACUACGAGCUCACCGUGGACGCGGACUUUUCCGUCGGAUCGGCUGUCGCCACCGACACCCUCGCGCACUCGGGCACCAAACUCGCGGGCGAGAGUGAGUGGACCUGGGUCUCGUGCCCGCCCCGCAUCGGCAAGCGCGCCACCGGCAUGGGCGUGAUCGAGACCCACGCGGAUCAGACGACCGACUUCAAGGAUUCCGGCGCCAUCAAGGCUGGCCGCUCGGUCACCAGCGGCUGGCUGGGCCGAGCGUCGGGCGCGGCUACGAUGAAGCGCCACCGCAUCGUCGGCCGCGGCACCCGCUUCGAGACCCAG